GGGAAAAGUUAAAGGGGUCGUGCGUGCGAUUGUGGAAGUUGUUCUGUUUCGAGGGUUAUCUGAGUUUAUUCAUAGGAAAUCAGAUUUACAUGUCUUCAUGCCAAGAAGAAUUAAACCGAGCUUAUGACCAAGGAUCUAGCCUAAGACGGCAGAGAUCGAGUUUCCGGUGCCUGAUAGACUGCCUUAGUCUGCUGAAGCUUCGUUAUCGAUUGCCAGUACGUGUUUUGAGUUGGGCAUAGAGUCUAUUGUGUUAUGAUGUAUAUGAAGGGAUGAAAACCCUUUCAGCGAAAUAAUUACAGAAAUCCAAUUUUAAUUGGAACCUUAAAAAUACCAAUACAUUGGCAAAAAAUUACAAAAACAAUUUUUUAUGGUUAAACAUGCUUUGAAUAAAAAAUACAGAGAAGAAAACUUACGCU
Molecule: long non-coding RNA, 416 nt
Organism: Cucumis melo (muskmelon)
Lineage: Eukaryota; Viridiplantae; Streptophyta; Magnoliopsida; Cucurbitales; Cucurbitaceae
Exons: 3
Source: RefSeq, a predicted model, not a curated record